RNAcentral lists this ribosomal RNA (344 nucleotides) under uncultured eukaryote. RNAcentral describes it as "SSU rRNA". It matches the Rfam family "Eukaryotic small subunit ribosomal RNA", at positions 567 to 912 of the family's 1831-position model. The record is from RNAcentral.
CCAGCAGCCGCGGUAAUUCCAGCUCCAAUAGCGUAUAUUAAAGUUGUUGCAGUUAAAAAGCUCGUAGUUGGAUUUCUGGUGGGAGCGAUCGGUCUGGCGCUUAGCGCGAGUACUUGCAUCGUCUCCGGCCAUCCUUGGGGAGAGUCUGUCUGGCAUUAAGUUGUCGGGCAGAGGAUCCUCAUCGUUUACUGUGAAAAAAUUAGAGUGUUCAAAGCAGGCUUAUGCCGUUGAAUAUAUUAGCAUGGAAUAAUAAGAUAGGACUUUGGUACUAUUUUGUUGGUUUGCGCACCAAAGUAAUGAUUAAUAGGGACAGUUGGGGGUAUUCGUAUUCCGUUGUCAGAGGU